AGUUUUGGUGUUUGUCUAUUUCUGCAGGGGGUUAUCAGGAAAUAUGGAGGAAAGGCCCACACGUCGGGUUUACAUAGAGAUAUUAACGUGUGCGACAAUUUUCUAUCAUAUAGAAGACUCCAGAAGGCACGGGAACGAACGGGAGGCCGAGCGUGCCUAGGGGUUAAGGAAAACCAUGCGAUUAAGGUCGGUUUGAUCCGACGACCCAUGUUCAUUUGGAGAGGCUAUAUAAGCAGGCCCCUAAUCCCUGGAGGAGGCAUUCUCAUUCUCAAACCUUAAUUCAUUCAUUCAUCCAAGGAGGAGAGUCUCUGAUCAAGCCCUAGAGCCACCACAUCAACUAGAUCUCUAGUUUACAAUAGCUACAUAGGAUUAGAACUAGAAGGAGUCAGUCUUCGAUUGGUUUCCGAAUCUGUCAAGAGGAUUCUUGGUAAUUCCUCUACUGUUCUUUAUUUGUUCAUCAUUGCUCUAUUUCACUAUAUUGAUUAUGACUCUGCUCUACUUGUUUAUAUUUGCAAUUAUAACGUUCUUAGUUUAUCAUGGUUAUAUACUUGGCUUAGUUAGAUUGGAAUUAUAUACAUGUUUAGGAUCGUAUAGCAUUUAUCCAUCGGGUCCAUGGGUAAAUGAGAAGUAUUGUAUAGGCGUGGUGCCUAUACCAUAUUUAUCUGCGAUUGUACCCUAUAUACCGGAUCGCGGGGUAGUUCGCGGUGGUGACAGCUCCGUUGAUUCUUAUAUAGUCCCCCUCCCGUGUAUAGGGCAGGCAGAGCAACAUUAUUACAGGGGAGUGACUGCUAUGUUUCUCAUCUUCCUUGAUAAUAUCACUAUGCAUGGGCAUAAUCUUGUCUCGCAAUGAUUGCCAAGUAUAUAAUUGCACUAAUUAUGAUAUACUAGACUUUAUAGUUAAGAAUAACUUAGGAAAUAUUCUUGUAGUUCAUCCUAAUUCCAUGCUAAUGACUUGCUAGAAUAUCUGUUGAGGUGCUUAUCAUUAUCAUAUGUGGCUAGUUAUGCUGAUCAGAUUAGUUAUCUUUGUCACCAUUCAUACUUUAUCUAUAUUUUAUGUGAUAUUUAUCCCUGUAUGUAAGAGACAGAUGAAUACUCUCUAUUACACAUGCAAUGAUACUCAGUUCCAUUUUUCAUUCCAUAAUCAACAUUGGUGUGAGUAAUCCCUUCCCAGUGGUAAAAAUAUAAAUAACGAUACUAGGAAUACUUCUCGGUUAAAAUGCUACAUCGGUAUUAAUCUGUGCGCUUACACAUCCCUUUUAUUAUUUAUUCAGAAGAGCAAUUGCAUAUUUCAAUACCGCGUCUCUCAUGUCAUGCUGGGGAUGACAACUUGGCUUAAGUGGCAUGAGGGAUAGGUUUGGCAUUUUUGGCGCCGUUAUCAGAAAUAGAAAACUAAGUCUACUUUUGGUAAUGACGUUAAGAAUGCCCAACAUCGAGUGAUGCCUCGGUUACAUUGACUCCACAAAUCAAAAUUAGCAUCUCCAUGGCUUGCCAUGAGGGAAGCCAAGCACGUAGAGGGUGUGUUGAAGAGAAGUACAUCACUCCAAAUACAGAUGCCUUUGACCAAGCUAAAUUUAUAGUGUUACAACACACAACAGAGGUGGAACCUUAUAUCGAAGAGCAUAUGGAGAUGUUGAGGCAACGAAACCUGCAUCAGAGCAAGCUUGGUUAGCAAGAGCACAUAUGAGUCAGUUCAACAACUAGUUCAAAGAUUGACUUGCUAGUUCAACCUCUGGAUCAGAUGAAAGGCUUCAAAAACUAGCAAAAGGCCCUUUCUUCAUAGUCCCAAUCAAUCAAGGCUAUGACAUAAAUGGCUACACGUUUUACAUCAUUGAUCAAGACAAGAAGAGCGUGUACCAUACCAAUGCUAUUUGCGUAGAUGCAUUUGACAGCAACAUGCACAAGACAAUGUACUAUUGUCAAACUGAAGAGAUAUGGGAACUAUUGUAUCUUGGUUUCACGUGCCUAUUCUUCAGUGUUGAUGGGUUUAGGGAAGUCAGGGUGCCAUGAAAGAAAGGUAUGGUUUCACUAUAGUUGACCUCAACCAAGCUGGGUCCAAGGAUGAUCCAUUUGUUGUCUCAAGUCAGGUGUCCCAUGGCCUCUAUGUGCUUGACACUAGAAACAAGAAACGACAAGUGGUUCACCUUAGCAAAAAGCUGGUUAUCAGACUUAAAAAUCUACUGGACAAGGAAGAGUUCAAUGAACCCAAUGAAGUGCCACCUUAGGAUACUUCCAUCCUCCCUAUGCUUUUGGCGAGCGAGUUAACUCCAUACCGAGUGCCUCUCCCUGGCUUUGCUUGCACUAGAACAAGUUUGUUGAAUAAGUCAGGGACUCGCUAGUGAAAGAUUUGAAAUUUGCUAGGAUAUUGUCGCAAAGGUUUUCCUAUGAGUACACUGUACUUGUCUUGAGCAUGAAAUACAAGGAUAGUGUGUCUCCUUUGGCUACAAUUACGAAGGACUAGGCUAAAACUCAUGAUGAAUUUGUUUAGGUUUGACGUUCCAUUGAAUUUGGAGAGAGUGAUUGUUUUUUAUGAGGUAGGCCAUUGGGUCAUUUGGAUGCCUUUGGAUAGUGGGGAUUUGAGAUCCAUGGUUCUAAGCAUUUGUGGGAUUGUAAGAGGUGAACUGAAGGUUGGCUGAGCUGUUGCAUUUGGCAGAGGAUUGAGCUAGUUUUGGCUUGCUGUGCCUACCUCGCAAGAGGUGCUGGAGGGUGGCUGCAGAGGUGCAUGAUUUUAAUCUGUGGCUACAAGAGGGUGAGUUGUUGCAUGAUCUCCAUUGCCUAGGCUAAAGUUUGGGCCGCUUGCUGGCUUAGGUCAAUGUUGCUACUACUCUAUCUCUUUUCUUGAUGCAUCCUUUGUAAUUGGGCUUGCAGCUACUAGAGCUCUUGCUUAUGAGUUGAGCCUAGCACUUGCUAGAUCUCCAAAGCCGGAGGUUGAUCUUAGACUACUGGUUCCUCCUAGACUUGGCUCUCUUGUGUUGAAGCGUAUGUACUGCGGGUAUUGUGCCUGGGCCUUCCCCUUGGCAUGGAGUCCAUCGUAGCCCUUGCAUGAGCUUUGCUCUAUCAUGCUAUUGUGGGCCUUCUCUAGCCUGAUGAUGCUCCGGGCGAAGGUCGAGAUGACAGAUGUGUUACCGAUGGAUAGGAAAAGCUAGGGUUUCAUAAAUGCAUUCCCCAACCUCUUUUAAUUUUUACAGCAUUUGGUGCCCCAUUUUAUAGGGUGCUAUUCAUUCCCUAGAUCUAUUACAAAAAUGCCCUGUGAAAGUGGCCGAACAUUCCAAGAAUAUCCUAUUCUUAGCCUAUGAUUAUAGGGGCAUCUUAGUCGUUCCCCUGUGGGCCGCCUCUCCAUAAUGGGCCUAAGCUUUAGGAUCCCCUCGAUCCAUCUUUCAGUGCCACCGGUGACGGCUAACAUUUCCACGUGGCGCCAGCCCCCAUCUCAGCCUCCAAUCUCUGCCCAUGCCACUGGGACCUUUGCCAUCAGCCACUCCCCGGGCAUCCCCACUGGCAUCUCUCCGACCCCUGCCUGCAAGGUCGAAGGUCCAUCUUGUGCCAUCGGCUACGCGCCAAAGGAAAAUGUUGUCAUGACCUCUCUUGGCAAAUCGGAGCCCCCAUUCUUUCCAGGGCUCUAGCCUCCCUGUGCUGCCUCAUAGGGAUGGUUAAAACUGCUAAGCCCAGAGCUUCCAAAGGCUUUGUCAACUAGUUAGGCCUCCGCCGGUGGGGAAAUUCAUGUCUCGGUAGAGUGUUUGCAAGAUAGUGACACAAGCACUUUCCAUCUAAUGAAUGUUGAACAUCAACCAUACAUGGUAUUGUGUAGUCUACAAAUAAUUGUUGUAGUAGUACCCCAAAGAUUAAUUGAUUUGUGGGCUAUUAAGCAAUAACUAUCUUGAGGAGUUACCCUCCUUGUUCUUUGGUGUGGAGUAGACUAAUUAGCUGGUGGUUGUUGCUCAAAAUCAUGACCUGACAAGCUUGGUUCUGCCACAUGGGAACAUGCUUCGGCAUGGAGUUAAGCUCUCUAUAUAAGAGCAGAGAGAUGGCUCCUAGCAUCGGUAACAGCAUGGUCUUGGGAUGUCCACCAUCGACAUCUUGUGGGGAUAAAAGGAUGAGGAUCUAGUUCAAAUAAAGUGGAGUAGUUGUGUGUUUGUUGGUGGCUGCCAUUACGCUGUAAGUCGACAAGGAAAAGUGGAAAUAUAGAGGUUUUCAAUAUAUUUGGAAUGCAAGCUUGACACAUACUGCACCAGAAAUUUUCUUUUCCUCCAAAAAGCAUCCCUAACAAACUCAAAUGCUUUUCAUGUCAGAUUAGGUGCAUCAUAUAUCGGGUCGCACUAUGAAGUCUAAGUAUAAACACAAAUGUCUUGAUAUACCCUUGAUAAAAAAAUCUCCAAAUUAAACAUAGCCUACAAAUAGAGAAAUGACAAAUCCCAUUUUUUGGAGCCUAAAAGAGCCAAAGUUGCCUCACAUUUUCUUUUUCUUUAGUGGCAAUCCAAACUAGAGACAUUGGAGCCCUGUUUACAAUGUCUCAUGGGUGAUAAGCUGUCUGGUAGGACUGCUUCUUAAGCAGUCUAAGGGCACUCCUAAUGCAGAAACCACCAUAGUUUUUAUGGACAUUAAUUAUACUGCCACCUAAUCAUUUUGCUGACGUGUCAAUAUAGUUAUUGAAGAGAGAGAGAGAGAGAGCAAAAAUCAUAGAAAUUGGGUCUAAGUUGGAAACCAUAUCUACACAAGAACCAAGACAUGAUGGGAUGUGAUUGGUAGAGAAUGGAGAGAGAAUGCAUGUAAUUAGAUAAAAACUAUUCCAUAGAAACUAUCCAUUGGGACCAUGAUUUCUAUAUGUAGUGUUUAUAAAAUUUAAUAGGUAUAGAAACUAUAUGUAGUUUAUAGCAUUGGGACUGCGAACUAGGAAUAGUGGUGAUGAGGUACUUCUAAAGUUAUGAAUAUUACCUGUGCCCAUGCCUACUCUAGGAGUAUUUAUUUUGUCAUGACAAGGAAGAUCCAAUCAGUGAAUGGGUGCACCCUACUGGAUUUCUCUGUGAGGCGGGCCUCCACCUAUAUAAAUACGAGCAAUUUCUGACCACCUCCUUAAAUCAAUUUUGGGAGACAGGCAAUUCUUGGCCAUCUUCUCAAAUAAAAUGAUUGCUUCUCAUAUUAAAACUAGCAUGUCUCUUGAAAUCUUUUAAGUAGUAGUGCAAGUGAUACGACCAUACAAAAAUUUCUCUAUGAGUACAUUUAUGACCAUCAAAAAAAUAUGUUGUAGAGAAGGAAAAUGUUGUAUCCAGUAGUGGCAGCAGCCAUCUUGAACAUUUAAUAACCUCUUGCUUCAUUUGUUGCAGACUCCUCGAGGGAGAACAAAUGCAUAAUAUGAACUCAGAGACUACUUCCACUAUAUUCUCCUCCAACACUUCCUUUGCAAUGACGAUUAAACCUUUAUUUUCUGAUGUGAACCUUACGAUGGACAUACCUUGGCAUUAAUUUGGAGGAUUGAAGCUGUGUUAAAUCAAAAUCUAAUAUGUGCCUCAUUUCUUUAUUUAUUGGUAGAAGAUAUCAAAUCAUUAAGAUGUCUGGAUGUAUACACAUAUCUCUGUCAUGGAUACAUGUGUAUAUCAGCAUUAACAUGUGUCACUACAUGUAUAAACAUAUCUCUAUUAUGGAUGCAUAUAUCGACACUAAUUAAGAUGUGCCACUGCAUGUAUAUAAACAGGACUGAAUGAGGCAAUAUGCAUACUUUAACACAAGUUCAAGAAAUAUACCAAUACUGUUCUUCACUUACAUCUCAUAAUUAGCAAGACAAUGAGGACCGUUGGCACAUCUCUUUGCAUUGCUCUGGUGAUUAUGUCUUCAACACUCUCAUCCUGCUAUGAUUGUACGUUUAUAACAUCUCAUGGGCUUACAAUAAUUUUAUUCAUGCAUGGUUUUAAAAUCCAGCUGUGUUUCAUAUAUGCAUGCAGUUCCAGUCAUAGUUAUUCAUUUACCUGGAUGCACUUUUGCGCUUUGCCUCAACGAAUGCUCGAAGUUUGCCAGUAGGACUGGCCAAGUGUUACAGAGAUCCUACUGUGAGAAGAUGGGUGAUUGCUGCUGUGUGUUAGGUCACCAAUUAGCUGCUGCAGAGGAUGAUAAAGGAACUUUUGUUUGAACAGGAUUAAAAUUGAGACAGAUGAUGGAUGGGAUCCUUACAUAUGUAUCAAGGCAGGCAGUACCAUAUGCUCUUGCAUCAAACUUACAUGGCGAUGCCCUGUUUCCAUCUAACUGUAAUAAAAUAAUUGUGUGACUUUCCUAUACUAUUGUUCACCCGAUUCAUCCAUUAUUUUGGUUACAACUAAAUUAUUUCAGGCCAUACUGAGUUUUGUACUAUAACUGAACUUUUCAGGCCACCAAAUAGACGUGGUCAUUCCUCAGGUUUAGUCAAGUUAUGCAAAACCCGAGCGUGAAAUCCUUACUAUCAUGAAACCACCCAUGAAUCAAUCGGACUAUUGCACAUGAUGUUGCCUGACACCAGUGACCUUGUCGCAGUUUGCCUGAUAGAAGGGGCUAGAGAACUAAGUCUAUUUCUUUCCUCGAGAUAUUAUUUCUGGGAAGAUUUUAGAUUUUUUGGAUAUUUCUCCAUUUUCAUACAGCUAAAUGUAUUUUUUCUAGCGAUAUAUUCUUGAGCUCUAAAUAUUUUUUUAGAUUGUUGUAUCCCUAUCUAUCUUUAGAAUAAUUUAGAACUUUUAAAAGCUUACCCACAUUUGUGUGGUUCAGAAGCCUUAUCAAUGAUUUAUAUUUUUUUAACUACAAAAAAGGACAAAAUUGCCUUCAAAGCCACUCUAGAAUAGGGUAGGCAGGUAACUUGAAUGGUUGUUAGAGUUAAUGAGGAUAACCUUUCUGGUUUUUGAGUUCGAAGAGAAAAACAGUUCUUGAAGGAAAAUCGGACUAUUAUGAUACUUAAAGUAAGAUAUGUUUUAUAAAUUAUUUUGUUUAUGAUACAUCAUAAUGGUUUUGACAUUGACUGCAAAGUCGUAUACAUAUAGAUGUAAUAAAUUCAGGAUGCCAGCCGUGUUCAUGGGUUUGAUAAAACUGCAAACCAGACCAGAACCAGCUCAAAUGAGACCGGUGUGGUUAACCCGAGGCGGGUUGGGUUGGUUUCUCUCUUAAUCCGGACAAGUCAUGGACUAUAUAUGAUCGCGUUGUGGGUAUAACCAUGGAAACCAGCCAAACUGGUCCCCUGCUCCGUGUUUCACUCUAGAAACUAGCAUCCUCCAUGAUCCUAUCGGAAUCGAGUUCUUUGUCUUCCACACCAAAUCGUGCCUCCCUUCCUUUAGUCAUGGCAUUGCUUUAAUAUUUUCACAGCAGAUCCACUUUAUCCCGCUGGAAUCAAACAUGCCCACCCAGAAAUUCAGUCAAGGUUCAAGAUAAGUAUUGUGGAACAAGUUUUGUCGUCUCCUUGUUUUUUCAUUAGAUCGUUUGCGAUGUCAAGCUAGAGUCACUGGAGAAUAAAUUCUUCCUAUUUACUGUGUCUGUCUCAUAUGACUGCUAAAUUGCUAAUGAAGUAGUGACAUUUGACAUGAAUGCAUCUGUCCACUCCAUGAACACUGAUUUUGUCACGACAGCAAGAUUGAAUAAGUGAAUGGGUUCAGUGGCCAUCCUUAAAAUUUAAUCUCUUAUUUCAUUGGAUGCAUACACAGUUCUUAAGGGAGAACCGUAUGCAUCAUAUGUACUUAUUGACUACACCUUUGACUGCAUAUCCUUCCAUGAAAGCUUCCUUUGUAGUGACGAAUUAACCUUUCCUGAUGUGAGACAUAUAAUGCAGAUACAUCAAUAUUAAUAUGAAGGAUUCAAGUUGUCUAAGCCAAUUUAUUUAUUUAUUUAUUGCUAGAAUAUAUCAAAUCAUACAUGCAAGAUAGUUCAACAUUAAUAUAUGAGGACACAUAUACCUCUGCUGUGGAUACAUAUAUCAAUACUUGGAUGUUGUCUGUAGGUAUAUAUUUAUCUGUAUUGUGAAUACAAUCAACAUUAAGUUAUGCCUGCAUGUAUCCCCAUAUAUAUCUCUAUUUUUUUGGAUAGUGAUAUCUCUAUUUUGGAUACAUAUAUCAACCUUUGUGCCACUGCAUGUAUAUAAACACAAGUUAAACAAAUAUACCAAUACAGUUCUUCACUUUCCAGUCAUAAUUAGCAAGACAAUGAAGACUGAGUGCGCAGCUCUCUGCAUUGUCCUGGUGAUUAUCUCUUCAACAAUGUCAUCCUGCUAUUAUAGUAAGUAUAUAACUAUUUCUGUACCUACAAUAAUUCCACUCAUGUGUGGAUCAGGCAAGAUAGAUCAACAUUAAUAUAUCUUUUGUUGUGGAUACCUAUCUAUAUUAUGGAUACUUAUAUAAACAAUAAUAUGUGCCAUUGCAAGUAUACAUAUUUAUCUGUAUUCUUGAUACUUAUAUCAAUAUUAAGAUGUGCAUAUAUCCCUACUGUGGAUACAAAUCAUAUAUUUACCACUGCAUUUAUACAUAUAUCUCUGUUGUGGAUAGAUAUAGCAACCUUAAAAUGUGCCACUGCAUAUAUAUAAACCGGACCAAACAAUAUGCAUACCAGAACGCAAUGCAAGUUCAACAAAUAUACCACCAAUACUAAUUAAUCUUCCCCACUUGCCACUCGUACUCAACAAGACAAUGAGGACUGUGUGUGCUGCUCUGUGCAUUGUCCUGGUGAUUAUGUCUCCAGCCCUCUUAUCCUGCGCUUGUGGAUGGAGUAUGUAUAACUUGUUUUGUACUUAAAAUAAUUCCACUGGUGCAUUGUUUAUUAAGUAAAGUUGUGGAUGCAUGCAGUAAUUGAACCAAUCCGUCUACCUGGAUGCACCCCGGCGGUUUGCCAAACAAAAUGCUUGGAUUAUGCCAAAAAGAAUGACCUAGUGUUAGAGCUGUUCUACUGUGCGAAGGAGGAUGUUUGUAUGUGCUCGUUAGUUCACAAAAAGCGUCUGCACCUCACAACCGAAGUCAUGGGAUUAGCUGAUGAUGCAAAGGACGAUAAUGGAACUUUUGUUUGAAUAUAAUAUAUCGGAUUGAAUUUGAUACUAACGAUGGAUAGGGUGGUGACAUGGCUGAUACGGACCGAAGAACGCUGCAAGAUAUAUUACUCUUUCAUGAUUUAAAACAAAGAGGUUUACAAGCAAACCUCCAAAGGAUAACCAUCGUGCUUGCGUCAUGAAUAACCGGCUAGUUUUUAGGCAAGGUCAGCCGGCAAGCCUAGGGCGUCAGUGACAGCCCUGCCUCUUCUCUCACUACCACCUAGGCCUGCACUGUCAGCUGCCUUUCUUCUCCAAUCUCCAGUCUGAUACCAACCGAAGCCAGCACCGAAUCCCAUGUUCCCCGGGAUUGCUUGUGUAGGGUACAACCGACCCCCUAUAAAGCCUGUGAACCUCCCCCGCGACUUCCUUUUCACAUCAACGUUACCCCGAGGAGCCCUAGCCGCUGCAGUAGUCGGAUUUAGAUCUUGCCAGCUUUUCUUCCGCCCCGCCGAGCGCUGCGGCCACCCCGAGCUCUCUCUGCCAUUGUAGAGCUUCUAGGAGAGCUUGUUGUCUUCUCCUCAAUCUCCCCAUGUAUUUAUUUUGGGUUGAGGCGCUCUAGUUUGUCGUUUCGACGAGCUCCGGGGAGAGCUCGGCCUGGUCGGCCAUGGCGCUGCCGUCUGGGCUGCCGCCGGCCAUCUCCCAGCACUACAAGAGAAACCCCUCUUUUGCAAUGGAUAGGUGACAAUGCUUAGUUUAUUAGUUGCAAGGAGUAAGAUGACAAUGUUUAUUAAACCGUUGGAAGCUUAUCCGUGUUCUUGUGAGCAGCCCUUUGAGCUAUGCGGGACAUGUAGUGCUGUCAGGUUGACCCUGUAACCAGUCAAGUCAUUACCCAUUUAUAUUUUAUUUCCUCACUAAAUUUUACUUAUAGUAAGAACAAGGCCGGAUCCAAUCCAAAACUUAUAACCCCUCGCUCCUAUUAUCCUAUACACACCCUAAUCACGGCCGCCACCGCUUUGCAUGGUGGUACAACGUCCGCGCCCCAAAUCCCCUCCCUGUUCGUGCCGCAUCGCUCGAUCCUAUUCCGUGGCCAGCACCUGUUGUCUGCUUGCCGGCGUCUCAACUAACCUCCCCCACUAAUUCCUCCUCCUUCCUUUCGCAAAAAAAUCCUCCUCCUCCAUCAGAGCAACUCAGGGCCGUCAGGGCGGGGCAGCUACAGCGAGCUGCUCAGCGUGGGUUGGGGCAGCUGCAGCAGCACAUCGGCAGGCAACAGCAGUGCAGUAGUUCUUUGUAGCUCCGUGCACGUGCAGCUGGGUGACACCACACCAGCAGCAGCAGUGGACGCGGCCAUUGGCGAGACAGCGACUCCGAGUGCCGAGCAGCUGGUCAUUAGGUAUGCCUUGAAGUCUCCAACUGAUUAGGCCAAUCAACCUGCACCCUCUUUGUCGUUGAGAUAGCAAUUUGACUCUGAAUCAUGAGUUGCGAGUAACCCCACUCAAUUAAUUAAAUCAAAAUCAAGUGUCAUGCUUGCCCGCGCUGACUUGAUAUUGUGUCCUGCUAGCUCUUUAGUGUAGUAGCGAUGUUAAAAUUCAGUCAUAGCAUACCACAGUGUUGUAAUGCUCAAGUUGCUAUAUGGGAUUUUUAGCAUUGAAAGCAAUAGAAUACCUGGCUUGGAUGUAUCUGAACCACAUUAUGUAGUGAUAUUUUUUUAUUUAGUACAUCUGUGAUUUUCUAAACUAGUGCUCAAACUUAAAAGAACUGGAGCACUCUGCUAACUGAAAGUGAAAAUUGCUACACCAACUAGACUCAUUUUCUGUGAAAUAUGUAUGAUUUGCUAUACUCAUUUUCUACUCUAGCAGUUGUCCUCCCUACUAGAAGCUAGAAUCUUCUUUUCUUUUGGUUAACCUUUUACAAUUUGUUGGUUUAUAAUUUUCUGAUCUUUAUGAUUGCCUUAGGCAAAAUAGUUGUGAUAAUGUAACUUAAAGGAAUUAUAUGAUGAUAAAUAAAUAUGAACUUAUAGAUGCUAUUUAUUUAUACAACAAGAGCUUUUUAUGGUUUCAAAAUGGAUUUAAAAAUCAUCAAGCUUCUUUGUUAAAGAGCCCUUGAAUCAAAUCCCCAUCUUCCAAAACAAAAUCAACGCCCAGGAUUAGACCAUACCACUUCGGCCAGAGUAUUUGUUAAAGAGCCCCUGCUUUUUCUUUGAAUCAACCCGCAGUCCAAAGCAUGUUUCCAAAAUAUGUCUUCUCAGUAUGUCAUCCCAAUUUGAAUUCAAAAUACAUUUUCACUAUUUACAAAAAUGCCACUGAUUUUUGUUUGGUCACAAAAUGCUCAUUUUAACUCCAUUUUGAUCGGUUUAAAUUUUGUAAGAUUCAUAUUUGCGCAAUCUACUUGUUUGUGUCACUAUUUUACUAAUUUUACAACUUUUUGAUUUUGACGUCCUAUUUAAUUUAUUACUUUACUAAAGGAAAUCUUAGGAAAUUCAUAACUUCUCCGCUUUAGCUCUGAUUUUUGUGAUCUUUACGUCUGUGUGAUCAUAGCGAUGCGUAUAAUGAUUUUAUAAACUUUUGAACAUGUUUUUUCUGAUAUUGGUGUACUGUCCUAAUUGUAAUUCUUGUGUUGCUAUGCAUGACAAUCUCUGAUUGCUUGUGUGUUGAUGAUUGAAGAUUCGAGUAUAGACGAUGAGUAGUACGUUGGUAAGAAAGACCAGUAGUUUGACGACUAGCAGGAGUAGUAGAAAAACUUUGAUUAAGGCAAGUAUAGCUUGGGACCUCCUUGAUUACCUACUCAGUUUAUAUAAUGAAGUAAAUGUGCAUGUGUCUUUGAUACUUUGUUAAGGAUGACUUAGCAUUGAAUUAUUGUGUACCUUGUUUACCCUCGGAUAUCUGCAUGUGGGUAGUAUUUGCUAGUGCUGAUUUAUAUGACCAUGAUCUUGUAUCAUGAAUAUUGGAAUAUGCAAUAAACAUUGAAAGAUGAUUUUUAGCAACAUGAACAAAAGGCUAAGAAGAACUCUGGCCUUUGUUGGAUGUUCUUGACUCUUUAUAAGGACUUAUUCUUUGGCAAAAGCUAGGACAAAUCGUACAGUUGUGAGGGCUACAUGGCUCUAGCUCUUGUUACUCAAGGAACAUUUUCUAGCUUGUUAGCGGUUACCCGAAACAGCGCAAAAGGGGCUUGCCGACUUGUGUAUUGUGUGGCCUCUGUCCCUAUGUGUGUAUGGUUGGGCGUCAUUGUGCCAUUCAAAAGGGGGCACUACAUCUGCUCGCCGAUUAGAAACCUUGUGGCCCUAACUUGUUAAACAAACCUUUGAGUGGCUUUAUAUUGUUUCCAGUGUUAUGGGCCUAAGUAACCUGUGCAUAUGGAAAUCAUGACUCACAGUGAAAGUGUACACCUCUUCACAAAGUUGAACAAUCUGGUAUACUAGGCGUGCCCACGGUUACGGGUGGCCUGGAAAAUUGACAAAAUAGAUUAUCACUGUUGAACGAUGUUAAUGAUGAUUAAGAAUGUGGUUUGUGUAUUAUUCUUCAUAACUAUAUACAUUGAUCAUGUGGUUAUGGGAUGAGAUAUUACCUUGAAUGCUAAUAAUGCUAAAUAUGAUACAUACAUAAAUGCUAAAUGCAGUCAAAUAAUUGUCAGCUUUUUGAGCCUCAUGAACCCCUGGUUAUACUUGUUGAAUAUGAAAUAUCCUCACCCUUGCUAUUUCACAACACCUCAGGAUGUGCUAUAGAUGAUGAUUGGAAUGAGGAUUAUCGUAAUGAGUACUAAGCUUGGAGUCAACCAGCCAACGUUUGUCCCUAUGUGGUGCUUUCCAUCGAGAGUUAUAUUAGUUUGCUACAAUUAUUGUUUAAUACUGUAUUCAAUAUUCAUUCGUUAUGUAAUAAGCAUUGUGAUGAUACUUUCUGAGGUUUGUUAACAUUAAGAUAUGCCACUGCAUGUAUAGUUAUGUCAAAAUUAGGAUGUGCUGCUUGUAUCCAUAUAUAUCUCUACUGUGGAUACAAAUUAUACAUUAAGCUGUACCACAUCAUCUAUAGAUAUAUCUCUAUUGUAGAUAGAUAUAGCAACCUUUAGAUGUGUCACUCCAUGUAUAUAAACCAGACAUAACAAGGCAUAUGCAUACUUGCGCACAAGUUCAACAAAUAUACCACCAAUAUUGAUCUUCCCCACUUUCCACUCAUACUCAUCAAGACAAUGCAGACUGAGUGCACUGCUCUUUGCAUUGUAUUGGUUAUUAUGUCUUCAACCCUCCCAUCCUGCUAUCUUCGUAAGUAUAUAACUUAUUUCGUACUCAAACUAAUUCCACUCAUGUGUGGUUUCUAAAGUCAAAUUGUGGAUGCAUGCAGUUCCGGUCACAUUUAAUUUCAAUUUACCUGGAUGCACUGAAGGGCUUUGCCAUGCAACAUGCCAAUAAGUAUAAUAACCAAGUGGUAAAGAUCUCCCAUUGUGAUAAGCCCAAUAUUUGCCACUGUGAGUUUUCUUCCAAGAAGCAUCCGUGGCUUACCACCGAAGCCAGGGGAUUAGCUGAUGCAGAAGACCAUAAUGGACCUUUUGUUUGAAUUUAAUAUACAAGAUUAACGAUGGAUAGGAUGGUUACAUGGAGGCAGACAAUACCAUAUUGCUAGCUCUAGCAUGUAAUUUAUCCAUGACCUGUUUCCUUUCAAGGUGUAAUAAAAUAAUUGUGCACCUUUCCUAUGCUUUUGUUCCACCCAAUGUAUUUGAUCCACCAUACAGAUUUCAUGCCAUGAUAUGAUGACGAUUUGAUCCCCAAUAGCAAUGGGACCAGGGCGAAAACUUUGGGCGUGGGCUUAGCCUCCCAUGCCUGACACCCUGGUUUUAGGAUGUCAGUCAUGAACAACAGCGUGUGGGGAGAAACACUUUGGGGACAACAAAGGUCAAACAAAGUUGAAUUUUUAUGUGUCGACGGGUAGCCACUGUUGAGCUUGGUGAUCCACACAAAGUGAACUAGGCUUUUUUUUUCUUGUACCAAAUCCCCUCAAUCUCCCUGGACUAUUUUUCUUGUACCAAACCCUAAACCCAAAACCAAACAUCUUACACCCUGAACUCUUAAUACUUCUCGAAUUACAUCCCUUUUUUGGAGUGGUUUUGAAUAUGGGUUUAUCUUUUUUUACUAAAAAAUAAUUCUGUAAAUAAUUGAUAUAUUAAAAACCAUAGAAGAUGACUCUAAAAUUUUACAACUGUUUUAAAAAAAUCUAUAAAUUGAUUGGGACAAUUACUGAGUCAAAUAUUUAGAGGUAAUGAAAACAUCUUUAUAAACUUCAAACUAAUAGGUUUAGCUCUACGGAAUGGGAAACAAUCUGGAAAAUUCCUCUAUAAACAAGUUUUAAAAAGUUUACACCACAAAAAUAUGAGACGCAACCAACAUAAAUGCAAAAUAAAUUAAUGUUGAAUGAUUUCAUGCUCUGCAUUCAUAACACCUUAUAUUUUUGAAUGACCAGGACAAAUUAACAUGUUGUUCAAUGAUUUUUUACAUUUUCUAGAUAUUUUUCCCUUUUUCUAGAGCUAAAUAUAUUUUUUAUGUUUCUAAGUUAUUUGUUAGCUCUAAACACCUUAUUUGGAUUGUGGUAUCCCAACGUAUGUUUAGAAUUUUUGGGAACUUUUAAAAUCUUUGAAACAUUUUUUGUUUCUUGAAAACCAUAUCAAGUAUUUAACGAUUUUUAACAAGAAAUUUGAUAAAAUUGCAUUCAAAACCACUCCAAACUAGGGCAGUAGGUAAUUGGAAUGGUUUUGAGAGUUAGUAGGGAAAGAUUUCUAGUUUUUGAAUAUGAGAAAGAAAAUCAUACUAUGACUUUUUCAUUGUUAGAAGUAUUUCGGCAGCCAAGUCAGCGCAUGCUAGAUCUGAAGUUUGCUCAUAGGUCUCAAAUGACAACCCAUCUGAACUUAACAUGGGUGGGCGAAAGCACUUUCAGGUGGACUCCAUUUUGCCCGUUCAUGAAAUUGCUUCAUGUCAAGAGUUCUUUUGUAGGAUGCAUCGUAGGAGGGUGACGUGAGCCAAAGUGAGCAAUGUGACCUGCGAUUAGCCUCUGCCACCAUACCAACCCAAAAAGAUGAGCGAAGGGUCUGCUAAGAAGACCUCAAGACCUCCGCUUGUGUCCAGCAGUGGAAGGGGCCAACACAUCAAAAGACUGGAAAGCACCUGGUUGUGCCCUAUGCAGUUGAUGAUACUAGAAGAAAUUGAAAAUAUAAAUGUGUACAAUUGGGAUGGGAAAGUCAACUAAUCAUCGCGGCAGGAUCUUCGUGUUGGUUGUCAUCAAUGGGCUAUGGUGACAAUCACUGUCUGAGAAGCCAGGCUUUUGCAAGGGAACAGAGGAAGAGGCACCAACCAGAAGUGAUGGUUGGGAGAAACACCUAGAUGUACCAAGUCCAUAGGGUGGGCACAACGGUUGGGGCAGAGUAUGAAGCACUUGGUGGUGAUGUCAGUGGAACUACCAUUGAGAUGGGAGGUAAGGGCGCAUGAAUCAUUGAACUGUAUCCUGUAUUUAUAUGAGUUAUACAGAUGACUAAAAUUGCUCCAGAUGGAGUGUGGCAGUCACCAUACGAAGUGUUGAUUUUAUGAGAAAAAACAUCAUAUGAAAUGGUGAUUCUCAUUGAUGAGUACCACUACACGACUCAUGCUCAACUAGAGAAACAAACAAUUUCUUUUGUUAAGCCACAUAAUUUAAAACUAUACAUAUAUAAUUUCAUAAGAAUUAAAAUCAAUACAUGAAUUUGAAGACUGAACAAAUCAAAUUGGAAUCCUCAAUGUUAGAGCAAGGAUCCCUCUCAUAAGUCAUUGAUGGACGCUCAUGGUCAUCCUCCUCCACCUUCUUGUCAUUUGCCUCCUCAUCCUUGUCCUUGUCAUUCCCUUCCUCCUCCUCCUCCGUCGUGUAACUAAACUAGAGCUUGUCUUUUGUCGUCCAUGGGGAAAUAGGCGGGGUGUUAUCAUUUGAGCCGUCAUUGCCAUCACUCUGCCAGCACUAAGAUUGUUCCUUGCUUGAGGAGUCAUUGUCUCAAGCUCGAAGCCAAUAAUGGUUACAGGGGAAGGAAUGGGGUGAGGAAAAAGUGGAGAUCUCCAGAUGGCAGAUGGUGUUAGAAAUUUAGACAUUUUUUAAUGUUUGAUUUAAUCUAGAAAAUUACACAAAAUAAAGUGGUGGCAUAUAUGUGCACGUGUGCAAAUUUAUCGCUACUCAGAUUAAAGAUAAACAUUGCAAAUACUGUAGACAUACUAAAAAUAAAAUAUAAUCAUUUAAGAUUAUACCCAGAGGAGGACCAGUGGCGAAGGCACCGGCGGCUCCAUUCGCACUAGUCGACAUAGUGCGUUGCUUGAAGUAGCGGACCACAGUCGAUGGAGGAAGACGUUCGCAGUGCAGUCCCGCGAACGUCCACCAGGAAGAAGACGAUGUAGCUGAUCUCUCGUCACCACCUGGAAGCCGAUCUGAGGUAGGAGGAAGUAGCCGAUCUCACCGAUCUGAUGUAGCAAGAAGAAGCAGAUCUGAGAUAGCGAGCAGUCACGGAAGAUGCUCCGCAAAAACCUGAUUACCCGCACACAGAGCAGGUGUCUCGAUGCAAGGCGUCGGGUUCCGGAGGCCUGCUCUCCCGAUCUCUAUGCGCAUAGAGGUUUGGGACAAGGAUGAACCAGAGCACAACUCGACAGGAAGAUGAGAGGAGGACUGAUGUGUUGUGUCUCGCAGAUGGAAAGAUGAUGCGACAAAGGAAUAUAUAGGCUAGAGAGGAAACGUCUGGUUUAAUAGCAAUUAAUGACAAUCAAUUGCCUUUAACCAGACAAUGGUCAGAUCCCGAUUCUCCUCCCUUUCCUUUUCCACCAGGAAAAACGUACUCACACUCGCGCAUCACGACUCGACUCGACACGACACAACACGACACCGCUCGGCUCGGCUCUGUGGCGGCGGCGGCGCGCGCGCGUGUGGCACCCUAUUUCCCUUCGUCAACUUCUCUAUAGGAGCUAUCACAGGCCGCCUAUUUAAGUUGAGUUAACACAUGGUCAACAAUCAAUCCGGUAUUAAACCGUUUUUAUUAUAACAUUUAUUAUGGGCCCUUUAAUUAAUCAUGUAAUAGAAUAUGGGCUAAAAGCCCAAAUAAUAUUCAACAAUCCCCACCUAUUUCUAUGGCACAUAAGAAAUGCUCUCAAAUUUCCAUGUUAUUUCAUAUACCAGUUGUUUCGGUGGAGACCGUUAAGUUGAACUUCCUAGGUUGAACUUCCACCCAGAAUAAAGAUUACACUUAGUCACAACUUGAACAAUGGACUAUGCCUUGAAUUGCAAGUUUUGUGUGAAAUAAGUUUCAUCUAAACUCAUAAUUGAUACCGGGUUGCAUGAACAUCCCCUCUAGUUGAAGCAUAUAAGUCAUACUUCUGGCCCAUUCAUGAGUAUCUAGAGACCACCCAGAUCUCAUAAACUGUGACUAGCAGUCAAACUCAUAUUGGUGUAUUCCUUAAAGAUGUUCUGUAGGACAACAUCUAUCACUUCAUAAGCCACUUUGGAAUACAUUAAGGUAUAUAACCAGCCUUCCUUACAGACUUAGGAAAGAAGUACAAUUGAGAUGAGUUAAAUAAAGGGUCUUUCCUCACAAUCUACUUCUGGUUUGUUUCACUAUUCUACUUCACGGGAUCUCUGAUCAUAUAGAACAGGUUGCUACCAUGGUAGACGUUACGUGGGUCUCAAACCCAUCUCACUCGAUGCACUAUCGAUCACAUUACAUGAUAGUCCCUUUGUGAAUUGAUCUGCCAGAUUCUUAGACGUAUGGACAUAGUCCAAUGCUAUAACUCCAGAGUUUCUCAAUUUUCUGACAGUCUUCAAUCACCAUUUGACAUGCAAUGUGGACUUCAUGUUGUCCUUAGAACUGUUGACUUUUAUGAUCACAGUUUGAUUGUCACAGUUCAUGGAAAUAGCCGACACAGGUUUCUCAACCACCGGUAGAUCCAUUAGGACUUCACGAAGCUACUCAGCCUCAGCGCCAGUGGUGUCUGUUGACGGUUCUUAAGUAUCAAUUUUAAUUAUCAAAUAAACAAGAGAAAGGACCAAUAUGCAACCAACACCUAGAAUUAGGGUUUGAUCUGACAGAAUUCCACGAGUUUUGUUGUUUAUCUGUUUCUGCAGGGGGUUAUCAUGAAAUAAGAAAGAAAGGCCCACAUGUCGGGAUUACAUAGAGAUAUCAACGCACCGCACGAUUUUACAUCAUCUAGAAGACUCCAGAAGCCACGAGACCGAAGCGGAGGCGAAACUGGGCCAGGCCCAGGGCGCCCGCCCUGGUAGCCUGGGCGCCCGCCCCCCU
RNAcentral lists this long non-coding RNA (18229 nucleotides) under Sorghum bicolor (sorghum). RNAcentral describes it as "long non-coding RNA (SBIC_LNC009517)". Lineage: Eukaryota; Viridiplantae; Streptophyta; Magnoliopsida; Poales; Poaceae. The record is from RNAcentral.